RNAcentral lists this ribosomal RNA (458 nucleotides) under uncultured Treponema sp. RNAcentral's name for it is "bacterial SSU rRNA". It matches the Rfam family "Bacterial small subunit ribosomal RNA", at positions 25 to 474 of the family's 1533-position model. The record is from RNAcentral. Lineage: Bacteria; Pseudomonadati; Spirochaetota; Spirochaetia; Treponematales; Treponemataceae.
CAGAACGAAUCCUGGCGGCGCGUCUUAAGCAUGCAAGUCGGGCGGCAAGGGGGAUUUAUCCCCCCUAGAGCGGCGGACUGGUGAGUCACGCGUGGGCAACCUGCCUCCGGGAUGGGGAUAGCCGGCAGAAACGCCGGGUAAUACCGAAUAGUGCCGCGGGACGAUGGAUUCGCGGUGAAAGGAGCGUCUGCUCCGUCCGGGGAUGGGCCCGCGUCCCAUUAGCUAGUUGGAGGGGUAAAGGCCCGCCAAGGCGAUGAUGGGUAGCCGGCCUGAGAGGGCGAACGGCCACACUGGGAUUGAGAUACGGCCCAGACUCCUGCGGGAGGCAGCAGCUAAGAAUAUUCCGCAAUGGGCGAAAGCCUGACGGAGCGACGCCGCGUGGACGAGGAAGGCCGGAAGGUUGUAAAGUCCUUUUGCCGCCGGAGAAUAACCCGGGAGGAAAUGCCCGAGGGUUGACG